GGACGACCGCUGGCGGCGUGCUUACCCCAUGCAAGUCGAACGGAAAGGCCCUGCUUUUGUGGGGUGCUCGAGUGGCGAACGGGUGAGUAACACGUGAGUAACCUGCCCUUGACUUUGGGAUAACUUCAGGAAACUGGGGCUAAUACCGGAUAGGAGCUCCUGCUGCAUGGUGGGGGUUGGAAAGUUUCGGCGGUUGGGGAUGGACUCGCGGCUUAUCAGCUUGUUGGUGGGGUAGUGGCUUACCAAGGCUUUGACGGGUAGCCGGCCUGAGAGGGUGACCGGCCACAUUGGGACUGAGAUACGGCCCAGACUCCUACGGGAGGCAGCAGUGGGGAAUAUUGCACAAUGGGCGGAAGCCUGAUGCAGCAACGCCGCGUGCGGGAUGACGGCCUUCGGGUUGUAAACCGCUUUCGCCUGUGACGAAGCGUGAGUGACGGUAAUGGGUAAAGAAGCACCGGCUAACUACGUG
RNAcentral lists this ribosomal RNA (469 nucleotides) under uncultured bacterium. RNAcentral's name for it is "partial 16S ribosomal RNA". It matches the Rfam family "Bacterial small subunit ribosomal RNA", at positions 27 to 507 of the family's 1533-position model. The record is from RNAcentral.